Ziziphus jujuba (common jujube) is the source of this 3235-nucleotide RNA transcript. It is a transcript of the gene named PHD finger protein EHD3, with no coding region annotated. The record is from RefSeq and is a predicted model, not a curated record. NCBI's taxonomy places the organism in Eukaryota, Viridiplantae, Streptophyta, Magnoliopsida, Rosales, Rhamnaceae. The transcript is spliced from 7 exons.
CAAAAUUUAAAGAGAAAGUCCAAAGUCUUCAAGGAUAAGACCUUCCCUCGCAGAAGCCGCUCUUCAAGAUUUUAAGCGCUCCAUAAAAUUUUUACUUACUUUUCCCUCCUCUCCACGUAAGUUUCUACUUCUUUUUUUCUCUCUCGCUUUCUCUGAUUUUCUUUUUCAAUUUUCUUUCACUUUCUUUUUUCUACUUUCUGCUCCGUUUGGCUUUCAAGAAAAACCGUGUCACAAAUAAAAGAAAAGAGAAAAAUCUUGAUAAAUUCUUGAAAUCUUUAGCUAUUAUCAUACGCUUGAAUCUAGGGGAAAAAAAAGUUUAUUAUUCCUGAAUGCGACUCAGACUUCCAUUUCGGCUUUGGUUCUUGUUAGAAUUGUGUUUCCUAGAAAACUUUAGUAUAGAAGAAAUGCUUGGUAGUUGGGAUUUUCUGGUUUUUCAUUAUGUUCGUUGCUCUACAGUUUUCUUGAAUACCAAACGGCCGAAUUUUUUAAUUUAGAGAGUAGGUUUUGGGUUUAUUUUGGAUAUGGUGGUGUUGGGUGGUUUGUUAUUAAUGCGGAUUUCUUAAAAUCGUGAGCACAUAGGUUGCAUUGGGAAACCCUAAUUUCGUGCUCUUAAGUUGGGGGAACUAGGGUUUUUUUACUUGUAAUGGGUGUUGAAGAAGGAACGAGCAAUGGUGACGGUUCAGAAUGCUCUGAAGGGGUUAGGUUUUUUCAGAGUGAUGUAGUCAACAAUGGGUUUGAAGUUGGCACUGGAACUAACAUGGGUGACGGUAGCUCCGGAGCGAGUGAGUGUAUUCGAACUUACAAGAGGCGGAAACAUUUGAAGUCAACCAUGGAGAGCAAACUACAGGAAGAUGGAAGACCUUAUGCAGAGGCAGCGAGUCAAUUAGUGGACCAGGCCCUGAAAGAGCAACAAGUCAUGGUCAUAGGCAGCAAUUCUUGUGAGCAAGUCUUCCUCCAUUUGAAUGGCUCAGAUUAUUGUUCACAGAGGCCAUAUAGAAAUGUUGUAUUGGAGCACUUAUAUCAGUCAUUAAGUGAUGAUGAAGGUGGCAUACAAGGAUGCAUCCGGGAUGCACUCGAAUUUUAUCCAGACAUUGGUCGUGUGAUGACAGUUAAGGAGUAUGAUCAUCAUGUUGGCCAUAGGCGAGAAUGCUCUUCACCAACAGGGUGUCUCUUAAAUGGAUUUCGGAGAGAAGAUAGUGAACAUGCGGGUAUCUCCUCUAAUGGAUACUUAGAUACUUCAAAAUGUACUGUAACUGAGACUUGUCAGCGUGCUUUUUUUAAUACUUUAAUAUCGGAAGACUUUGCCUCAUUGUGCAAGCUAUUGUUGGAUAAUUUCCAAGGAAUCAAGGACAAUGUUUUUGACUUUAGUCUUAUAAACUCAAGGAUGAAAGAUGGAGCUUAUGAAAGUUCACCUAUGCUUUUCCUCUCAGAUUUUGAACAGGUAUGGGCAAAGCUUCAGGGAAUUGGAACUCAAAUGAUUUCUCUUGCAAAAAGCCUCUCUGAAAUUUCAAGGACUUCCUACAAUAAACAGGUUGGAGGUUCUGUCCGCAACACAUUUCAAGAUGGAAAACAUGAGUUGCAUACCAAGCAGUCUGACUCUCACCCUAAACUGGAGCAAUCAGAUGAUUGUGGUUUAUACAAAGUUUGCACUUGUAUGCGCUGUGGGGACAGUUGUGAUGGGAGGGAUCGUCUAGUCUGUGAUUCAUGUGAGGAUAUGUAUCAUGUCUCCUGCAUUGAGCCUGCUGUCAAAGAGAUUCCCCACAAAAGUUGGUAUUGUGCCACUUGCACUGCAAGUGGAAUUAAAUCACCUCAUGAAAAUUGUGCAGUAUGUGAGAGGCUGAAUACGGUUAAGACCAUAGUAAAUGGAGUUGGUAACGACAGUGCUCCGACUAAUGGAGAAGCACAUAAUGAAUUGGGAGAAAAUUCAAACUGUAGUUCAGAUGAAUGGUUUCACUCAUCAGAAAUGGGAAAAGGCUCAUGUGUUUGUAAAAUUUGUGGAAAUGAGAUAGAAGAUGGCGAAAAGUCAAAAACAUGUAGUCACUCAGUAUGCCCCAGUAGAUACUAUCAUGUGAGGUGCCUGACAAAAAUGCAGCUAAAGUCAUAUGGUCCACAAUGGUACUGCCCUUCUUGUCUGUGCAGAACUUGCCUCACUGAUAAAGAUGAUGAAGAUAUUGUUCUAUGUGAUGGCUGUGAUCAUGCCUAUCACAUUUAUUGCUUAAAGCCACCCAAGACUUCCAUUCCAAGAGGAAAAUGGUUUUGCAGAAGAUGCAACGUAAGAAUUCGAUCAAUACGGAAGGCAAAGAGGGCUUAUGAAAGAAGACAGAAGAAAGGCAAUGGAGAAUUUAAGGCAUUUGAGAAUAAUGAAAAGAAGUGGGUUGAUAAAGAUAGCAUGGAAUCAGAUAAAAAUAGGGAAGGGAUAGACAUGCUUAUAACUGCGAUGAAUUUAUGACGAUGAGCAAGUGGCUGGAAAUUUCAGUGAAAUGUUUUGAAUACAAGAAGGUAUUAUAUGAGUACGAGAUUUUGAAUGGUUUCUUCUAUGGGCAAUAAAUAUUAACAUGUAGGUGUAUCGCAGGAUGCUCGACAUUUUCCAUUUGCCUCAUUAUUUGGGAAGACUGAUAUUUUGGUAGGGUGUAAACUGUGUUAGAUUUGACUGACUUUUUGGAUACGUAUAUCGGGGAAGACAUGAUUCUAAAAGCUGUAUAUCUACUACAUCGGUCCCCGCUUAAAGUGGAGGGAUUGAGAAACAAUACCAGUUUGGUAAAGUGACCAUUUUAACCAUCUCUUGUUGAAUACCCUAAACGCUUUGUACCAUGAAGCAUACUGUAUCCUUUACUUGGGUUCUUUAAAGUGGAUUUUGCAAAAGACUGGCAGUUGAUUGUUUCUUCGACCAAAAUUGCAAAUUUUCAGGUUUCAGCCCUCAUCCUUGAUUUGGAUUAGUGAAUAGCAUCAUUUCCCAGGAUUCCUUUUUCUACAACUUCUAUUCCUUUGCUCAUUUCUCCCCUAUAUGGAAGUCAAAUGAAAUACAUCUUCUUCUUCUACUUUUUUAUUUUUUAUUUUUUUUGUGGUGGUGGGAGAACAAUUGUUAAAAUACCACAUGCACUCUCAACGUGUCUAUUCUUUAAGCACAUCAAGCUAACGAACCACAAGCUGUCACCUCAGAGAUCUAGACUGUCAUUUUUUCAAUGAAGUCUUUACUAAACAGCUGGGAUUGAUGUUUAAACUUCAUUUGUUACUA